RNAcentral lists this ribosomal RNA (510 nucleotides) under uncultured bacterium. RNAcentral's name for it is "partial 16S ribosomal RNA". It matches the Rfam family "Bacterial small subunit ribosomal RNA", at positions 28 to 507 of the family's 1533-position model. The record is from RNAcentral.
GACGAACGCUGGCGGCGUGCUUAACACAUGCAAGUCGAACGAAGAGCGAUGGAAGCUUGCUUCUAUCAAUCUUAGUGGCGAACGGGUGAGUAACGCGUAAUCAACCUGCCCUUCAGAGGGGGACAACAGUUGGAAACGACUGCUAAUACCGCAUACGAUCUAAUCUCGGCAUCGAGGAUAGAUGAAAGGUGGCCUCUACAUGUAAGCUAUCACUGAAGGAGGGGAUUGCGUCUGAUUAGCUAGUUGGAGGGGUAACGGCCCACCAAGGCGAUGAUCAGUAGCCGGUCUGAGAGGAUGAACGGCCACAUUGGGACUGAGACACGGCCCAGACUCCUACGGGAGGCAGCAGUGGGGAAUCUUCCGCAAUAGACGAAAGUCUGACGGAGCAACGCCGCGUGAGUGAUGACGGCCUUCGGGUUGUAAAGCUCGGUUAAUCGGGACGAAAGGUCUUCUUGCGAAUAGUGAGAAGGAUUGACGGUACCGGAAUAGAAAGCCACGGCUAACUACGUG